Molecule: transfer RNA, 82 nt
Filed under: Sutterella sp. CAG:397
Lineage: Bacteria; Pseudomonadati; Pseudomonadota; Betaproteobacteria; Burkholderiales; Sutterellaceae
Rfam family: tRNA
About the family: Transfer RNA (tRNA) molecules are approximately 80 nucleotides in length. Their secondary structure includes four short double-helical elements and three loops (D, anti-codon, and T loops).
Source: Rfam by way of RNAcentral
GCGGGCGUGGCGAAAUUGGUAGACGCACCAGGUUUAGGUCCUGACGCUUUUAUGCGUGUCGGUUCAAGUCCGGCCGCCCGCA